AUAUUCAAUACUAUCCGCACAAUGCUUCAGACUGUUCGUGUGAAGCGUGUGGUGCAUUCGACAAGCAGUGUCCCUUUGGGGCGCUCCUUGUCUGSUUUGAACGGCAACUUAUUGCAAAGCUUUACUCGGUAAGGUGCAAUAAUGGCCGUAAGUGUGUGAUUGAUUGUAUACGUCCCUCGAUGCGGCCCCCAGUAUUUGUUGACUGCCUAUGGUGGUGACUGGGGGUUAAGCAUCGGAUUAUCGAAAGAAUGUGACAUGUCUUAUACGGUUAUGUGCU
Molecule: ribosomal RNA, 277 nt
Filed under: Contracaecum eudyptulae
Lineage: Eukaryota; Metazoa; Nematoda; Chromadorea; Rhabditida; Anisakidae
Description: partial ribosomal RNA
Source: RNAcentral